Molecule: long non-coding RNA, 1104 nt
Filed under: Homo sapiens (human)
Lineage: Eukaryota; Metazoa; Chordata; Mammalia; Primates; Hominidae
Description: HSALNT0311023
Source: RNAcentral
CCUUGUGAGAUCCACCCACUACCCACAAAACAUUGCUCCUAACUCCACCACCUAUCCUGAAACGUAUGAGAACUAAUGAUAAUCCCACCACCCUUUGCUGACUCUCUUUUCAGACUCAGCCUGCCUGCACCCACAUGAAAUAAACAGUCUUGUUGCUCACACAAAGCCUGUUUAGUGGUCUCUUCACACAGAUGCGUAUGACAUUUGGUGCUGAAGACCAGGGUCAGAGGGACUGCUUCAAGAGACCAGUUCCCUGUCCUCACCCUCACUCUGUGAAGAGAUCCACCUACAACCUCCGGUCCUCAGACCAACCAGCCCAAGGAACAUCUCACCAAUUUCAAAUCAGCUUAGCAGCUGAAGACUGACUCUGCCUGAUCACAUUGGAAGCCCCCUGGACCAUCACGGACGCCGAGCUUUAGAUGGAUUCUCGCUCUGUUGCCCAGGCUGGAGUCCAGUGGCGCCAUCUGCAAGCUCCGCCUCCUGGGUUCACGCCAUUCUCCUGCCUCAGCCUCCCCAGCAGCUGGGACUACAGGCGCCCGCCACCAUGCCCGGCUAAUUUUUGGUAUUUUUAGUAGAGACGGGGUUUCACCCUGUUAGCCAGGAUGGUCUCCAUCUCCUGACCUCGUGAUCCACCCGCCUCGGCCUCCCAAAGUGCUGGGAUUACAGGCGUGAGCCACUGCGCCCAGCCUAGGUAUUUCAAUAGAAGUGGAAUAAAGCCAAUUUAUUGUCUUUGAAAAUCAUGGCACUGUAUGUUUCCAUCCACAGAGUACAACAGAGCCCCUUUCCCCCUGUCUUCAUGAACGUUGGAUGGUAGCAGACCCCUCUACCUUUUAUGUCAGCUACUAGAAAGAAAUCAAACCUCGGUGUUGCUUCCUCCUGCAGUGUUUGAACUACCUCUGAUCCGGAAAAUUUUCAUGUGCUCAUUGGUCAUUUCUGCUCAUGCAAAUUGUCUUUUCAUGCCCUGUGCUUUUUUUCUACUAAGAUACUCAGUUUUCUCUUGUCAACCUAAUAUAAUCGAAAGGGUCAGAAUCUAAUUUAAAGAGCGUUUAUUCAAGUGCAUGAGGAUGGACCGCCCAGAAACACCAACUCCAAAGGGAUGGAGUC